This 891-nucleotide long non-coding RNA is filed under the name Glycine max (soybean). RNAcentral's name for it is "long non-coding RNA (GMAX_LNC004087)". Lineage: Eukaryota; Viridiplantae; Streptophyta; Magnoliopsida; Fabales; Fabaceae. The record is from RNAcentral.
UCAAAGAUUUGCUGAGCUUGGAAGGUUGUUCUCUAAAGUACGAAGGUGACUUCUACGUGUGAAGAAGAUGAAGGUGUCAUCUACAUUCUUUAACUUGCUUUCCUGCGUGGUCGUUCCUUUAUCUAUUAUUUGUGGUCAAGUUCUAUUUUCUUGUAUUCCUCCCUUUUUCUUCUUCGCUCUUUUUUUUUUUUUUGUGUGUGUGUGUGUGUGGAAUGCACUGGUUGAGCGUCGCCUAAAUUUGGUUGUGCUUUUCAGGAGACGAGGGUGACGACCAUCGCAUUCAUACGACAAAAUCUAUUUGUGCAACUUCUUCAUCUACCCUUCCUUUGAUAGGGGAAAUCGAAGCCUAUGAGUGGACAUUUUCAUCCGAGCAUGUGUGUGCCGAGAAUAUGGAUAUGGAUGAUCAGGCAUAUUUGUGUCCAAUGAUGUUGUUGUUGCAUCUGAUGGUGAAGUCAAAGCCGGUAAUGACAAUGUCGAUGCUAGUAGGGAAUGUGUUAUGAGAUUUUCCUAUUUUGGGGGUAUGGAUGAUUUGCCUGAUGGAGAGGUUGAAGUGAAUGGUGAGGAAAAUAGCGGAAACACGGUUCCGAUGCUAGUAGGACCCCGACUGUUAAUGUGUUUUUGCAUUACUUCUUUGUUUGCCAAAAUCCUAAGGUAGAUAUGUCUUUGAGCGAUGUCUGCGCCGGGGUCUCUUGGCUACCUAUUCCAACAGCAUCAAAUCCUUUAAAGACCGAUUUUUUCGUGCUAAUUAUCCAUAUAGCAGUGAAAUAUAUAAAAUAGCUUGUAAGAUUUCAUCUUCUUUUUAUAAUUAGUUAUCGUAGGACAUUCAAGUUAUAUUAAAUUUCACUCAUUUUUUUUUACUUUAUUAUUAGCAUGUUUUCUUUUCAUAUUUUU